This 1048-nucleotide long non-coding RNA is filed under the name Hordeum vulgare. RNAcentral describes it as "long non-coding RNA (HVUL_LNC014649)". Lineage: Eukaryota; Viridiplantae; Streptophyta; Magnoliopsida; Poales; Poaceae. The record is from RNAcentral.
UGCUAUACGAAGAGAAAUAAUAGAGAUGAAAAAAGUUGUGGCCACCAGGGAUCGAACCUGGGUUUGCUGUGAGGAAGACAUGCGCACGUGGUCUGGUGCUCAUGACUCUUUAAGUUCUGGUAGCUUAAUAACCGUACUGGAGGACGACUUUGACAGAAAAGAUCCGAACCGGUUUUUUCACUUAUGAGUGACAUAGUGGGUAAUUUAAGCCAACUUCGAGGAUAAUUUUAAUGACGGAUGACAAAAGCAGUAGCUGCUUUAUUAUUAGGGAGAGAAAGAUACCCAGAGUAGUUGAGAGUUAUGACGUGGUUGGUUAAUUUUUGCGUGCAUACUUGUCCUAGUAGGUCGGGCGAGAAAAAAAAAGGCAAAAAAACUGUAUCUGUACAUAGUAUGGUAGCCUGCAUGUAGGCUGUCAUCAUUAGGGGAGUAAUUUUUACAUGGCGUUUGGUGUACUACAUUGGUUGGGCUAAUGCAAUUGCACGGUUGUGGGUUGCAUGCAUUGAAUAUAAUUAAUAGUUAACAACUACACAUAACACACAAAACUGAGUUCAAUGUCGAUUACGGUGGACGAUGGUCGCGGCACCGUGUCCGAUAUGAUGAGGAUGGAGUCUUGGGUGGGCGACCCCGUUGGAGACGCCGCGAGUAGCAUCAUCGCCACAGAGAAAGUCCAUGCAGAAUAAUAAAUAGGAGGGUGCUGAGGCAGAAAAUGAUGGAGGAAAAAUGCGGGCGAUGUCCCAUGACGAUGGCUUCGCAAGAGGAGGCCAAACAGAAGGACGUCAGAGUAAAACGUGAGUGAGGAGCUCGAGAGGGACCACGUCAGCGGUAGCUUCAGUGUAGCGGGAUGUGUGAGAGAAGGCGGAGAGGAAUGCUGACCGCACGAGAGUAGUAGCACGCGGGAGAGGAGGUUAAGAGAAACAACUGCGCUAGUGCAACAACACGUGGGACAUGAGGCUGAGUGUAACGAUGUUGAUGGUUACGAUUAGUGUAGUGGGACAUGGGAGAUAUACCACUGGUUGGAAGAGAUUAGAGAGUGUCAUGAAAACAGAUC